Long non-coding RNA from Gallus gallus (chicken), 3371 nucleotides. Lineage: Eukaryota; Metazoa; Chordata; Aves; Galliformes; Phasianidae. The record is from Ensembl.
GCCGUGAGGCGCGCGGUCAGCCGGCUUCGGGUGCCCGGCCCUAUGGCAGCCACGGAAAGCUCCCGCGUGGUUCUCAGAAACAGUUUCCCUCUGCGCUGGGAGCAGUUUGAUGAAGAUUUUUAAGUGAAAAAAAAAGAAAAAAAGAAGAAGCGUAUUUUGAGUGGCUUACCAAGGCUGAAGGCGUCCAGGUUCCCAAAGGGUUCCAGGUGUCGGUACCUGAGAACGGCUGGUUUAAUGCUGCGCCGUGUCGAGCUAAAAGCAGUGGGAGGAUGUUGAGACGCCUAUCGCAUGUAAUCAGAAGUAAUUACACUCUACAGAUACCAGCCACAACGAUUCUUGCUGUACAGAGAUGCGUUACAUCUUUUUGUGCUGAGAGAAUUUUAGUGUGGUAGGGAAAAUAUUCCAUCACAGAACUGCAGCCACGACAAAAUGAAGGCAGAAUGUGUGUUUUUACACACAGAAUAUGCAGAACAGCAGGUAUGCAGGGACUGUGUGUUGGUUUACCUACGCAAUACUUCUGUUCCUUUGUCUACAUCCAACUGAGGUGACGUUUUUUCUCUUGCUUUAAACUUUUCCUAAGCAUUAUGUGGCCAACAGGGUGAAUUUGCACGAAUCCGUAUUCCAAAACUUGGAUCCUACUGAAAUUGAAAUCUGUGAAGUGUUCCAAUUGCUGCAGAGUAAGUGGGCUCUGACUCCUAAUACAACUGCUUAGAUAGAGCUCUCACUGCUGAGCCAGCAACGCAGGCUGUCCAUACAAGGUGCUCAUUACCUCAUGCUUUUGGUGUCAGCCAAGCUUCUGCCUCUAAUUUUUCCAAACAUCUAAAAUUUGUACUGAUGAAACACAGGAAAAGAAAGAAAGAAAGAAAGGAAAAAAAAAAAAACCAGCAACAACCAACCAAGAGGUUCACAGAGAUAAAUGACUCUGCUGCAGCUUUGAAGGGCUGUUUUUGUCUGUUUUGUCUUCAUCUUGAACUAUUUAGGGAGGUGCUUUCUUGUGUCUUUUGUCACUUGAAAAUCCCAUUUAGCCUCAGUGGAAUCACAUACAUGGCACUGGGGAAUUAUCCUGUGGUUGAAGACAUUCCCCUUCACCCGGAGCUGAAACCUGCUGUCAUAACAGAGGGAAAGCUAUUUUCACCACUGUCAGAAGAAGCAUCCGGCAUCUGAGAUAACAGCUUUUGAAAGAGCACAGAAACUGUUAUCAGUUUUGUCUUUUUAACACAGGCAGUUUAAAUAACUUUCACCCUCAGUUCAGGGACGCUCGCUGGGGAUUGCUGUUGCCAAGGAUGGCUUAAGGCCUUCAGGUGGACAGAGAAGACACGGUGUGCAAACAGAAAAAGUUGAGCCAGCAUUUUCCAGCUGAAUGUGAUAAAAAUAAAACAGAGGCAGCAAAAUGCAAAAAAUCCUCACUGAAGGCAAAAAACAACCCGGCCUCAUUCAACAGCAAACAGCACAACUAAACAUUCAAGUCAGAUCACAGAUCUGAUGUGAACUCUUUGCACAGAGUGGAGGAUUUCUUCCAGCUCAGAGGGAAUCUGUUUCAAAAUCAGUUUUUCGGUACAACAGGACAUAAGCAACUUCCAUUAAAGGACAGACAGCCUUCACUGAAGCUACUUAGAGGAAGCUGCUCUGCAAGAAAAAGAAGAUCCUGUGAGCACUCAAGGUCAACGCUCAAUGAGGCACAACUGGAGACAGAAGGCAGUUCCAUGAAGCACAGCUCCUGCUUUUUCCCUGCUGUUCUUGGUCCAGCAACUGAUGACAACGAAUCAGCUUCUAGCUCCUUGACUGCAGACGUGCGAUCCUCCUUACCCUGCUGGCAGGAGACUUUUGCAACCCCCUGAUGCUUUUGGGAGUUUCAAGGUCCUGUCAGCUGGAGCAGUGAAUGCCCGCAUCCCCUGGAAACUGCAGUAGUAUCCUGCUGCCUUAUAAAGGUUGAUAAUUGGAGAUGUAACAUCAUACACUGCAAAGAAUUAAGCAUGAAUGAUUCUAGAUCAUGAAAAAAAUCUGGGCAAGCUUGAAAAGCUCUUCCCCAGGGACAACAUUCCAGCUGGGGCUGAUGGUGCUGUGUGUGUGCACAUAAUGCCAUCCAUCAUGAGCUGCCUGUUUUCCCAACAGUGUGAGUGGGACUCUGGUACAACCCAGAGAGGACGUAGAGGAUGUGGUGAAAGAAACCCCUGACCUUGCUCCCUUCUAUGAAUUUUGAGUCUAGAUAAGACAAUCAUCUUGUUAUACUACUUCUUAGGAGUCUAAUCAUAUUACAGGACAUUGUAUUUCACCUGUUAGCUUCAAGACACCUUGUGAAUGGCUGAACGUGUCAGGAAAAGCUCUCUUGUGCUUCAGAUGUGAAUCAUUGACUGGAUUGUAAAAGGCAAAGGCAAUCAAUCAACUCCAAUCUGAGAGUUGUUGUUCAUGUGGGUAACGUAUCUUGAAGCUUUAAUCAUCUGCGUACCCUUUCGGAAGUAAUUUCUACAAAUAAAUUCCAAAUGUCAGAUAUAUUUCAUCAUUUAGCUUCAGCAUAUGGAAGUAAAAGUUGAAAGAAGCAAUUCACGGUCAUUUCUUACUGGGAAGAAAAUGAAGGGAAAAAUCCUUGCAGAAGAAAGAGAAGAAAAAGGAAGCCGCAGGAAAGUAUUGCGAGCUGAUUUGUGGACACUCCCCCAAAAGGUCAUGGGAGGUAAUGGAAGGAAUGAAACUGGUGAUGGAAAUCAGCAACACAGACAAACAUCCAAAAAAAUACAAUCUUCAAGGGAGCAGCAGGCAAUCAGGCAGGGGUUCUGUGAGAAUCCACAAACCUCAUGUCAGUGCUAAAAUAGGACAGCCAUCAGCUCUGCUCCACAUCACGCCCACGUGCAAAAGAGCCCAGCACCCAGAGCUCCAUCACAACCAGCUGCAGUUUGAGCACACACAGCCUCAGGCUUUGGCAAAAGCGCGUGAAGACCAGGUUUAUUUGGGCAGGGCUGGAUGAUGCUGGCAGAGAAGCAUCCACCCUUCGGUGUGAAAGUGGAAGGAGCUGAACUUUGAACUCUGAGAUAAGCAAAUCUGAACAUGAAAUAAGACAGUGGCAUGUUGGACUUAAGCUGGCCUUUAUAUAAAAACAGUGCACAGAAUGCCUUCUGUUCUUGAUUUUAUGUUCCACAAGUAGACUCUAAGACUCUGCUUUUCCUCCCCACCACUGGAGCUGUAUUAAGGCCCAGCAAUUCGGCAAUCCUGGCUCUUCUGAUCCUGGUAAUUUUAAAUGGUGUUGUGACCCUAAGAACAAAAGCAGUUUCCCUCUCCACUGUAUUUUGGUUGUUCUGGGACACGUUCUGUCCUGUAAUCAAUAGAGUUUAAAAAUAAAUUUACGUUGUGCUUUUCAAACAUAAAAAUAUUUUCCCGAG